Molecule: ribosomal RNA, 273 nt
Filed under: uncultured bacterium
Lineage: Bacteria
Description: partial 16S ribosomal RNA
Rfam family: Bacterial small subunit ribosomal RNA
Source: RNAcentral
GACAGAGGGUGCAAACGUUGUUCGGAAUUACUGGGCGUAAAGCGAGUGUAGGCGGUUUGGUAAGUCGGAUGUGAAAGCCCCGGGCUCAACCCGGGAAGUGCACUCGAUACUGCCAAGCUAGAGUAUCGGAGAGGUUGGUGGAAUUCUCGGUGUAGAGGUGAAAUUCGUAGAUAUCGAGAGGAACACCGGUGGCGAAGGCGGCCAACUGGACGAAUACUGACGCUGAGACUCGAAAGCGUGGGGAGCAAACAGGAUUAGAUACCCCCGUAGUCC